AGCGAACGCUGGCGGCAGGCUUAACACAUGCAAGUCGAGCGGGCACUUUCGGGUGUCAGCGGCGGACGGGUGAGUAACGCGUGGGAACGUGCCCUCUGGUUCGGAAUAACUCAGGGAAACUUGAGCUAAUACCGGAUACGCCCUUUUGGGGAAAGGCUUGCUGCCGGAGGAUCGGCCUGCGUCUGAUUAGCUAGUUGGUGAGGUAACGGCUCACCAAGGCGACGAUCAGUAGCUGGUCUGAGAGGAUGAUCAGCCACACUGGGACUGAGACACGGCCCAGACCCCGAGGGGAGGCGGCAGGGGGGAAUAUUGGACAAUGGGCGCAAGCCUGAUCCAGCCAUGCCGGGUGAGUGAUGAAGGCCUUAGGGUUGUAAAGCUCUUUUUCCCGGGACGAUAAUGACGGUACCGGAGGAAUAAGCCCCGGCUAACUUCGU
RNAcentral lists this ribosomal RNA (434 nucleotides) under uncultured bacterium. RNAcentral's name for it is "partial 16S ribosomal RNA". It matches the Rfam family "Bacterial small subunit ribosomal RNA", at positions 29 to 506 of the family's 1533-position model. The record is from RNAcentral.